AAGUCGUAACAAGGUCUCCGUAGGUGAACCUGCGGAGGGAUCAUUAACUUGUGAUCAGAUGAAAUGUGACAGCAAUGUCAUGUUUCAUCUAUCAACCAAACAAACAAACAAACCCCGUGCAUUUGAGUAUUCAGUUACUCAUUUCCAGCCCCGCAAUUGAACCGCGUAACGGAGCAUAUUAUUUGCUGACCAGUGGCGUGUACACCGUUUGCAAUGGCUUGCUUCACCGCUUGCCUGGUGUUCCCCACCUCGUGUAGUAGAUUCGGACAACUUUCACAUUUCUUAACAAACAUAUUUCACCCAUUCGUACAACCAUUGACUGAAACGAAAGGUGUUUUUUAACCGAAACGCCUACAUUCGAGUUUAUUCGAAAUCUAAGCACAACUCUUAGCAACGGAUAUCUUGGUUCUC
RNAcentral lists this unclassified non-coding RNA (411 nucleotides) under fungal sp. RNAcentral describes it as "partial internal transcribed spacer region". The stretch from base 1 to 46 matches the Rfam family "Eukaryotic small subunit ribosomal RNA", at positions 1786 to 1831 of the family's 1831-position model. The record is from RNAcentral. Lineage: Eukaryota; Fungi.